Molecule: ribosomal RNA, 253 nt
Filed under: uncultured bacterium
Lineage: Bacteria
Description: partial 16S ribosomal RNA
Rfam family: Bacterial small subunit ribosomal RNA
Source: RNAcentral
UACAGAGGGGGCAAGCGUUGUCCGGAUUUACUGGGCGUACAGCGCGCGCAGGCGGUUGCGUAUGUGAGCGGUGACAUCCGCGGGCUCAACCCGCGGCGGCCCGCUUACACAGCGCGACUGGAGGCAGGGAGAGGGAUGUGGAAUACCCGGUGGAGCGGUGAAAUGCGUAGAUAUCGGGAGGAACACCAGUGGCGAAGGCGACUUCCUGGCCUGUUCUUGACGCUGAGGCGCGAAAGCUAGGGUAGCAAACGGG